CGAACGGGUGAGUAACGCGUGAGGAACCUGCCUCAAAGAGGGGGACAACAGUUGGAAACGACUGCUAAUACCGCAUAAGCCCACGGCUCGGCAUCGAGCAGAGGGAAAAGGAGCAAUCCGCUUUGAGAUGGCCUCGCGUCCGAUUAGCCAGUUGGCGGGGUAACGGCCCACCAAAGCGACGAUCGGUAGCCGGACUGAGAGGUUGAACGGCCACAUUGGGACUGAGACACGGCCCAG
This 237-nucleotide ribosomal RNA is filed under the name uncultured bacterium. Its description in RNAcentral is "partial 16S ribosomal RNA". It matches the Rfam family "Bacterial small subunit ribosomal RNA", at positions 99 to 334 of the family's 1533-position model. The record is from RNAcentral.